Molecule: ribosomal RNA, 416 nt
Filed under: uncultured bacterium
Lineage: Bacteria
Description: bacterial SSU rRNA
Rfam family: Bacterial small subunit ribosomal RNA
Source: RNAcentral
CGUGGGGAACCGUAGCCCCUAACGUACUGGGAGUAACCAUUUGGUAAACAAGGUGGCUAAUAACCGGAGUAAUAAAGCAGAUCGCAUGAUCAGCUUUUGAAAGGCGGCGUAAGCUGUCGCUAAGGGAUGGCCCCGCGGUGCAUUAGCUAGUUGGUAAGGUAACGGCUUACCAAGGCGACGAUGCAUAGCCGAGUUGAGAGACUGAUCGGCCACAUUGGGACUGAGACACGGCCCAAACUCCUACGGGAGGCAGCAGUAGGGAAUCUUCCACAAUGGACGCAAGUCUGAUGGAGCAACGCCGCGUGAGUGAAGAAGGUUUUCGGAUCGUAAAGCUCUGUUGUUGGUGAAGAAGGAUGUGAGUAGCAACUGGCUCAUAUUUGACGGUAAUCAACCAGAAAGUCACGGCUAACUACGUG